RNAcentral lists this long non-coding RNA (288 nucleotides) under Lathyrus oleraceus (garden pea). RNAcentral's name for it is "Pisum sativum (pea) long non-coding RNA (PSAT_LNC030677)". Lineage: Eukaryota; Viridiplantae; Streptophyta; Magnoliopsida; Fabales; Fabaceae. The record is from RNAcentral.
GAAGGUGUUGCUGACAUGGUAUUUGAAGAGGUAGAGAAUAUAGAGGAUGCAGUUUCUGCUAUUCUAGCUGGAAAAGAUGAAACUUCUGGUAGAGCUGAAAAUGAGGGCGACAAAGAAAGCGAAAUUGAAAAGGUAAUUCUUAAACUUUCAAUGAUGGAUGUUACUAAAAAGAAAGAAGCUGACCGGAAUAAUGCAUUCCAGAAGCUGGAAGGAGAAGCACAAGCUGAACAACUUGCCACAGAAGAAAACCCUAAGUUUGAGGGUGCAGUUUCUGCUAUUCUAGCAGAA